CGAGGGUGCAAGCGUUAUCCGGAUUCACUGGGUUUAAAGGGUGCGUAGGCGGGCAGGUAAGUCAGUGGUGAAAUCCUAGAGCUUAACUCUAGAACUGCCAUUGAUACUAUCUGUCUUGAAUAUUGUGGAGGUAAGCGGAAUAUGUCAUGUAGCGGUGAAAUGCUUAGAUAUGACAUAGAACACCUAUUGCGAAGGCAGCUUACUACGCAUAUAUUGACGCUGAGGCACGAAAGCGUGGGGAUCAAACAGGAUUAGAUACCCUGGUAGUCCACGCCCUAAACGAUGAUUACUCGACAUUAGCGAUACACAGUUAGUGUCUGAGCGAAAGCAUUAAGUAAUCCACCUGGGAAGUACGACCGCAAGGUUG
Molecule: ribosomal RNA, 367 nt
Filed under: uncultured organism
Description: bacterial SSU rRNA
Rfam family: Bacterial small subunit ribosomal RNA
Source: RNAcentral